AUGGAGAUUGGACCGGGUGAGCUUUGCACAGUCAUGAAGACCCGUGGGAUGGAUGAGCUGGAGGGGAGACUUCAACAUGCCAUGGUGGUGUACGUGAGUGGUGACAGGGAGGAGAUUUCGCCGGUGUGGGUGCUGGACGCGUUGCAGUCCAGGAUGGGCAUCCCGUCGGACAGGGUAUCGGUUCAUCGGUUCAGGCUGAAGGACUUCCUCAUGGUCUUUGCAAGGAGGGAAGACAGGAACAGGAUGGGGCUCCGGCCGGUGCUUGAGUUCCAGGGGCAUCGGCUGUCUUUCAGGCAGUGGAUCAGACAGUCGCAAGCAGUAUUUGCCGCCAUGAAAUUCAAGGUGGGUUUGGAGCUGGAGGGCAUCCCACCCCACGCUUGGGAGUUGGAUGUGGUGGAAAGCCUGCUGGGCAGGUCAUCCAUCAUCGAGGCGUUGGCGCCAGAGACCUCGUCGUGGGCGGACAUGUCGUCGUUCAAGCUCACGGCAUGGACGGCGGAGCCGGAACAGAUUCCAUCUCGCCGGUGGCUUCCUGUGCCGAAGCCGGCGGAGUAG
RNAcentral lists this ribosomal RNA (552 nucleotides) under Triticum aestivum (bread wheat). RNAcentral's name for it is "partial small subunit ribosomal RNA". Lineage: Eukaryota; Viridiplantae; Streptophyta; Magnoliopsida; Poales; Poaceae. The record is from RNAcentral.